Molecule: long non-coding RNA, 1130 nt
Filed under: Ananas comosus (pineapple)
Lineage: Eukaryota; Viridiplantae; Streptophyta; Magnoliopsida; Poales; Bromeliaceae
Description: long non-coding RNA (ACOM_LNC038762)
Source: RNAcentral
AUUAGCUAUGAAUUUGAUCUCUGAGAUCAUUUUUAUCGUGCGCGAAAGGUUUUCGUGUUUAUUCUUGUAAUAACAUUAGCUAUGAAUUUGAUCUCUGAGAUCAUUUUGAUCGUGCGUGGAAGUUUUUCAUGCGUGGAAGGUUUGUUCUUUUUUUGUUAAACAAAUUAAUGCUUUCACAGUGAGCCCUUCAAUGGCUUAUUUACUCUGCUUAUAUACUGUAUUUGAUUUAGGUUUUGCUAAAUUUCCUUAAUCCUGCUGCCCCAUCUUUGAGGUAGAAAAGCAAUUCCAACUUAAUUCUUAUGUGUUAAGCAAAUUAAUGCUUUCAUAAUGAGCCCCUCGACGGCUUAUUUGCCCUAACUACGCUGCUUUUGCUUUAGGUUUUGCUAAUUUCUUUUCAAAGCUUUUGGCUUGUAUUUGGCAUAGUCAAAUAUCUUGAACGCAAUUAUCUUGAGCAACAAAUACUGUAGUUUCCUUACUAUGUGAACUCUAGUUGAAUUACCAUGUGUGUCUUUUGAUCCCUUAAUAGUUAAUUUGUGAAUUGGGGUUCUGAUUUGGCGUGCCCGAUCUAAGUUUGCCCCCCAAAAAAAAUUAAAUUCUCUGUUGCAACGUGCCUAAUCUAAACGGAACUAAAAAAUUUGAUGCCUUUGACUUCGUUAUGUUGAUUACAAAAGAAAAUAACCAAGCUGUAACAAUAACUUCGUGUAGCUGUUCAUUUGUUUAUGUUCUAUUAGCUAACCACUAGGAGGCUAACCUAUCAAUUUAUUCUAUUUUACAUCAUAGCUACGUUACAAGUUGAAUCACGUUGAAUCAUGCACACGCAGCAUUUGUCGUACGUUGUUCCGUAAUGUGUUUUCUCUGUAAUUAGUUUGGUAUUAUGGCUUUACUAUUUCUAUCAAGUUCUGCUCAAAUUUGUUGUCACAGUUGGUCUCUAUUCCUCUUCAUGUUGUUGCAUCUCUUUCUUCUUGUAUUUGUUGGUGUUGAUUCCUUUUUAUUUAUCCUUGUAAAGUGGGGAAGUCCCAAAUGAGGACCACAAGGUUUGUGGCAAAUUUGUAGUAGUAAAUUAGUAGUAGUAUUAUAGUUGUAUUUUGCUUUAUCAGCCUCCUCAUUAGGAUCGACGGCGAAGAGAGAAG